AAAAGUAGAAAAGGGCGCAUGGCGGAUGCCUUGGCUCACGGAGGCGAUGAAGGACGUGAUAAGCUGCGAUAAGCAUUGGGUAGGUGCAAAUAACCUUUGAUCCAGUGAUUUCCGAAUGGGACAACCCGGCUGUCUGAAGGACAGUCAUUACCAUCUUUUUGGUAAGGCGAACGCAGGGAACUGAAACAUCUUAGUACCUGUAGGAAGAGAAAAUAAUUCAAUGAUUCCCCCAGUAGUGGCGAGCGACCGGGGAACAGCCCAAACCCAUCCCGUAGCAAUGCGGGUUGGGGGUAGUAGGACCGCGCUGUCGUACUUUGAUUGUGAGGAGAAGCUUCUGGAAAGAAGCAUCGUAGAGGGUGAUAAUCCCGUAUCCGUAGCAUGACGAGGCGUAGCGGUAUCCUGAGUAACGCGGAACACGUGAAAUUCUGCGCGAAUCUGCCGGGACCAUCCGGCAAGGCUAAAUACUCCCGUGAGACCGAUAGUGGACGAGUACCGUGAGGGAAAGGUGAAAAGCACCCCGCGAGGGGAGUGAAAUAGUUCCUGAAACCAUGCGCCUACAAGCGGUCGGAGCCGCGCAAGCGGUGACGGCGUGCCUUUUGCAUAAUGAACCUACGAGUUACCAUGUCCGGCAAGGUUUAGCGGUUUAGCCGCGCAGCCUCAGUGAAAGCGAGCCUGAAUAGGGCGUUUGAGUCGGAUGGGGUAGACGCGAAACCAAGUGAUCUACACUUGCCCAGGUUGAAGUUCCGGUAACACGGAAUGGAGGACCGAACCAAUAAGCGUUGAAAAGCUUCUGGAUGAGGUGAGUGUAGGAGUGAAAGGCCAAUCAAACUUGGAGAUAGCUCGUACUCCCCGAAAGGCAUUUAGGUGUUGUAUAUAAAAAGUAUCGGUAGGGGAGCAUUCCAUCGACGCAGAAUGGUGAUAUUGAUUGAUCCUGGAGUUUAUGGAAAAGCAAAUGUAGGUAUAAGUAACGAUAAAAAGGGUGUGAUUCCCUUUCGCCGUAAGACCGAGGUUUCCCGGGCGAUGCCAAUCAGCCCGGGGUGAGUCGGGUCCUAAGCCUCAGCCGAAUGGCGAUGGCGAUGGCAGACACGGUUAAUAUUCCGUGACUUGCGCAUAUAGCGAUGUGGAGACGGAGCAGUGACACUGUCGCGUCCUGACGGAAAUGGGCGUUGAAGGUUGUAGGCGUUGAGGGAUACAGGCAAAUCCGUAUUCCGAGCUGAAUUCCGACAGUACGGUCUUCUUUUCGGAGACGACCGACAGCACAGGUAAUCAUACUCCCUAGAAAAUCCGCUAAGCAUAUGUUUGCGCAACCCGUACCGCAAACGGACACACGUGGUCGGGUAGAACAUACCAAGGCGUUGAGAGAUUCAUGGUUAAGGAACUAGGCAAACUGACCCCGUAACUUCGGGAAAAGGGGUCCUCAUGGCGACAUGAGGCGCAGAGAAUAGGUCCAGGCAACUGUUUAACAAAAACACAGGGCUGUGCCAACUCGAAAGAUGAUGUAUACAGCCUGACACCUGCCCGGUGCCGGAAGGUUAAGAGGAGAUGUCACACUUAUGUGGAAGCAUUGAAUUGAAGCCCCGGUAAACGGCGGCCGUAACUAUAACGGUCCUAAGGUAGCGAAAUUCCUUGUCGGGUAAGUUCCGACCUGCACGAAUGGUGUAAU
This 1663-nucleotide ribosomal RNA is filed under the name human gut metagenome. Its description in RNAcentral is "bacterial LSU rRNA". It matches the Rfam family "Bacterial large subunit ribosomal RNA", at positions 1 to 2005 of the family's 2925-position model. The record is from RNAcentral.